GAGUACGGCCGCAAGGCUGAAACUUAAAGGAAUUGGCGGGGGAGCACUACAACGGGUGGAGCCUGCGGUUUAAUUGGACUCAACGCCGGAAAACUCACCGGGGGCGACAGCAAUAUGUAGGUCAGGUUAAAGGUCUUACCUGAAUCGCUGAGAGGAGGUGCAUGGCCGUCGUCAGUUCGUACUGUGAAGCAUCCUGUUAAGUCAGGCAACGAGCAAGACUCGUGCCCACUGUUACCAGCAUAUCCUUUAUGGAUGAUGGGGACUCUGUGGGGACCGCUGCUGCUAAAGCAGAGGAAGGUGCGGGCUACGGUAGGUCAGUAUGCCCCGAAUCUCCCGGGCUACACGCGGGCUACAAUGGUUGGGACAAUGGGUAUCUACUCCGAAAGGAGUUGGCAAUCUCUUAAACCCAAUCGUAGUUCGAAUUGAGGGCUGUAACUCGCCCUCAUGAAGCUGGAAUCCGUAGUAAUCGCGUUUCAACAUAGCGCGGUGAAUCUGUCCCUGCUCCUUGCACACACCGCCCGUCAAACCAUCCGAGUGAGGUAUGGGUGAGGGCACGAACUUAGUGUCGUGCUCGAACCUAAAUUUCGCAAGGAGGGUUAAGUCGUAACAAGGUAGCCGUAGGGGAAUCUGCGGCUGGAUCACCUCCU
This 647-nucleotide ribosomal RNA is filed under the name uncultured archaeon. Its description in RNAcentral is "bacterial SSU rRNA". It matches the Rfam family "Archaeal small subunit ribosomal RNA", at positions 833 to 1478 of the family's 1478-position model. The record is from RNAcentral.